CGGUUAAUUAAUGGUAUUUACUGAGCACUUACUGGGUGCAGAGUAUUGUACUAAGCGCUUGGGAAGGUACAACAGAUCAUAGUUGCCAGAUAAAUGCUCUGCCCACGACGAGCUUACAGCCUACAGGUCAAGGUACUGCCCCUCUCAGCUGUCCAUCUCUUCAGUCGGCCCCCGCUCUGGCCGUCGUCGAUACUGGACUGGACUCCCGAAGUCACGGAGUAGUUGCGCGACGACGGCAGCCCCGAGUCGGCCAACCCCUAGGAAGACCGAGGACCUCCGCUGAUCCUACCCGCUGGGGAGAUGCCACGUCCGACCGCAUCCACCCGCUCCUCCCUGGGCACCAACCCUGACUCCCCGCAGCUGCACUACCUUCUUGUCCUUCUGAUACUUGCUCCACACAUCCUUGGUGAGUC
Molecule: long non-coding RNA, 413 nt
Organism: Ornithorhynchus anatinus (platypus)
Lineage: Eukaryota; Metazoa; Chordata; Mammalia; Monotremata; Ornithorhynchidae
Exons: 3
Source: RefSeq, a predicted model, not a curated record